CUCUCCGGCCGCGCAGCCGCUGCCGCCCACCCACACCCGCCGUCAUGCUCCGGGCAGCGCUGCCCGCGCUCCUGCUGCCGGUGCUGGGCCUCGCCGCUGCUGCCGUCGCGGACUGUCCUUCAUCUACUUGGAUUCAGUUCCAAGACAGUUGUUACAUUUUUCUCCAAGAAGCCAUCAAAGUAGAAAGCAUAGAGGACGUCAGGAAUCAGUGUACUGAUCAUGGCUGGAGUGCAGUGGUGUGAUCUCAGCUCAUUGCAACCUCUACCUCCUGGGUUCAAGCAAUUCUCCUGCCUCAGCCUCCUGAGUAGCUGGGAUUACAGGAGCGGACAUGAUAAGCAUACAUAAUGAAGAAGAAAAUGCUUUUAUACUGGAUACUUUGAAAAAGCAAUGGAAAGGCCCAGAUGAUAUCCUACUAGGCAUGUUUUAUGACACAGAUGAUGCGAGUUUCAAGUGGUUUGAUAAUUCAAAUAUGACAUUUGAUAAGUGGACAGACCAAGAUGAUGAUGAGGAUUUAGUUGACACCUGUGCUUUUCUGCACAUCAAGACAGGUGAAUGGAAAAAAGGAAAUUGUGAAGUUUCUUCUGUGGAAGGAACACUAUGCAAAACAGCUAUCCCAUACAAAAGGAAAUAUUUAUCAGAUAACCACAUUUUAAUAUCAGCAUUGGUGAUUGCUAGCACGGUAAUUUUGACAGUUUUGGGAGCAAUCAUUUGGUUCCUGUACAAAAAACAUUCUGAUUCUCCUUUCACCACAGUUUUUUCAACUGCACCCCAAUCACCUUAUAAUGAAGACUGUGUUUUGGUAGUUGGAGAAGAAAAUGAAUAUCCUGUUCAAUUUGACUAAGUUUUUGGUAAUCCUGCACUAAGACAUCAACAAAUGCCCUGGCAGAGAUAACUUGGGAAAGAUUUUAAUAUAAAAUUUGACAUUGGAUAUUAGAGCUUUAAUGGUAUUCCUUAUUCCAGUAACAUUUUUAUGUACUCAUCUGUUGUGAAGAGUCUUUAGGUUCAUUAAAAAAACAGGUUUUAGAAAUGAUCUUAGAUCUAACAAACAUAGUGAUUUUAAGCAUCCUGUCAAAGGCAGAAUCUGUGACUUGAAUGAAGGAAAGCUUAAAGCCCAAGAGGCAGAUAAAAAUAAAAGCCCAGCCUAUUUGUCUUGCCUGCUGUAUCUUCCCUUCUAUUUAGUUGACCCACUUCAGUUUAUACGUUUAUUAGUAAACAUGAAAUGGGGAAUAAGUUAUUUUAAGUACAUCCCAUACAUUUAAAUAUCUUUGAUAAUUGUUUUUUGGCAGAUAAUUCCUCUAGAAUGUGUAUCUCCUUUUAUGAUUUAGAUGAAGAAAAUUUGACAACUUUUAACACUCCACACCAAUUUUAGUUUCAUUACUUUUACACACACCAUUUUAUCACAAAUGACUCAAGUUUUAAUGAAUGUUUAUAAAUCUUUUGAAACAAAAUAUGAUCGCUGUGUCCAGGAUGGCAUACAGAAAGCUUGCAAUUAGGUUAACACACUUACAUAUUAUAGUGCCCCUUUAAGGAUUUCUCUCUUGCCACCAUACCGUUCUUACCUUCCCCUAUACAAGAUAUAUCUCAUUCUCCUCAAGCAUUUAUAAAUUUUUCCUUCAAUGACAUGAAAACUGUGUAAGCAAAAACUGAAGAAAAACACUAAGUACAACUGUAGUGACAAUGAUCAAAGUUUUCAGUGCAUUUAUUGUACAUUUUAAGAAAAAGGUGAAAAUCAUUUGGGGAGUAAAAAAAUGAAAAAGCUGAAACGAGUGAUUUUCCUCACCAUCAUCAAUAAACCAAAAACAGGAAAGAUAAAGAAUGUAUAAAUUUCAUGUAAAUCAGUCAUGUAUCACUUAUCAAUGGGGAUACGUUCUAAGAAAUGCAUAGUUAGGAAAUCUUGUGUGAAAAUCAGCUUGUAUUUACACAAACCCAGAUGGUAGAGCCUAUUUUGUCCCAAACCUACACAGCAUGUUACUGUGCUGAAUACUGCAGACAACUGUAACACAAUAUUUGUGUAUCUAAAUAUAGAAAAGGUACAGUAAAAAUAUGGUCUACUAAGGAAACACUGUUCUAUAUGUGGUCCAUUACUGACUGAAGUAUACUGUCUGUCUAGAAGUCUGAAGCUCAAAGAAAAGUAAUCCCUCUUCUGAAUCCACACCCCAUCAAUUACCUUACUUUCUUAUGGGGAGAUAUACUAUCUCACUAGCUUGACUAAUGGCAACAAAGUCCUAGCUUAUGUAAUCUCCUUUUAUUGACCACAUGAAUCGAAAACACUCAUCACAAUUAACGGCACUAUCAUUAAUAAGACAUGAGUAACUAAAAAGUGACAGAAAACUAUUAACAGUGCGGCUACAUGGUACUGAAAAUGCAGGCAUUACACCAGCUGUUACACAAGCACAAGCAUGCUCUUUAAGAGCUUUACAUUUCUGAGAUUUUGUGUAGUGAUUGAGAUGUCUAUUUUAUUAUUGAUGAUAGACUAUUACUAAUGUCAAUAUUGAACACUACCCUGGAAUUCCUGCCUGGUUUUCCUAACCAAAUUGUACCUCUCCUUGAAGAACUACAGGCACAGUAAAAAAAAUAUGGCGUAUUAUGUGAACUAAAAGAGUUCUAACGGAGUUCUUAAAGGAGUGGUAGAAUUUGGGUAGGAAAAUUUGGGUAGAAAAGUGAUUAAGUCCAACCUAAAACCAACAGCCUCAAACGUCUACAACUACAAUAUCCAAUGUCCAAUGAGCCACUAGCCACAUGAGGCUAUUUAAGUAAAUUUAGUUUAAAAUCCAGUUUCCCAAUUACAUUAGCCACAUUGUCAAGUGUUCAAAUCACAGGUGGUUAGUGGCUACUGUACUGGGCAAUAUACAUUAUAGAACAUUUUCAUUAUAGGAAGUUUUAUUGGGCAGUGCUGCUCUUAAAUCCUACCUUCCACUCAACUCCCAUACAACUAACUUUCUUUUGUACAUUUUGAUACUUUCUACCUAAUGGCAGCUCUUCCAAAAUAGCUGUUUUAAACUAUGAUUUAAUUUUCAAUAUUUGGUUUCAUUUUUCAACAGGCCAAGAGGCCUCUGGUAAUGAAGUGCUAUAUAUAUAUGACGGAGUCUCACUGUGUUGCCCAGGCUAGAGUGCAGUGGCUCUAUCUUGGCUCUCUCCAAUCUCUGCCUUGCAGGUUUUCAAGCAAUUCUCCUGCCUCAGCCUCCUUAGUAGCUGGGACCACAGACAUCUGCCACCACACCCAGCUAACUUUUUGUAUUUUUGGUAGAGACGGGGUUUCGCCAUAUUGACUGGGCUAGUCUCAAACUCCUGACCUCAAGUGAUCCACCCACCUUGGUCUCCCAAAGUGCUGGGAUUACAUGCGUGAGCCACCACACUUGGCCUACAUUUUUUCUUUAUAUACCAGAACAUCUAUAACAGGCACCUUAUCUACUCAUUAGUCAAGAGAUAAUUGGAUUACACAGGCAGGCUUGUUUACUACAUUCAGAAUGUAGAAACUGCUUUCUCCAACAUCUUGGUUCUAGCUAGUAAUAACAAUAUAAUUCUUUGGCAGAUAUUUAGAAUAACAUUUUAAACUACAUUUUCUUAGAAAAUUGCAUUCUUGUAGUGAGCAGUGUAUGGUCUCUUUUGUUCAGAAUUUAAAACUGAUAACCAAUGAAAGCCUUUUCUCUUAUUCCUCUACUGUCAUUUACAUGAUAAUCUGAAGCGAAUAUGACAAUAUUUAAAUACUAAGUGGUACUAGGGAACUACAAGAAUACUGUAAAGCUUAAGCCAUUGUUAUCACUGUCAUUUAAUAUUUAAUAACAAAACUAUACAGAAUUAUCUUAUAUGCAUACCAAUGAAUGUUUUGUACUAUCUAGUUAAAUUUUUUAAAUAAAGUUUUAUGGGUUAAGCAG
RNAcentral lists this small RNA (3875 nucleotides) under Pongo abelii (Sumatran orangutan). Its description in RNAcentral is "processed transcript". The record is from RNAcentral. Lineage: Eukaryota; Metazoa; Chordata; Mammalia; Primates; Hominidae.